This 979-nucleotide long non-coding RNA is filed under the name Homo sapiens (human). RNAcentral's name for it is "HSALNT0369474". Lineage: Eukaryota; Metazoa; Chordata; Mammalia; Primates; Hominidae. The record is from RNAcentral.
AUCUGAGUUUCUGACCUGUACAUUUUCAUUCUCUCUGAGGAAUGUCUUUCAACAUUUCUUGCAAGUCUUUGGGAACCAGCCUGCACAUAAGAUGCAUGCCUUAGCAUUUGCUCUUCUGCCAAGGACGAAGCAGCCUGUUCCGUGGGGUUUCCUCAUCGUUUUAAUAGAGGGGUGGAUUUUGAAAAUUUCUUCUGACAUUCUGAAGAGCUUCUUCUGUGGUCAUUUUUUUAUGAAGUAAUUAGAAACUGAGAUACUUCUCCAGAAUAAAUUGUUGGCUUUUGGGAUAGUGGAAUGGAAGAAUGGAAGAAUCCAUUACAGCAAGUGAUUCCUGAGGAUGCCAGAACCUCCCUUUUAUGAAGCCUUCUUCUUCUUCCAUCUGACUUUAUCUCUACAAGGAUAGAACAGAUGAGCUAAACUGUACCCAUCAGCGCCCAAGGCCUUGCUCACCUUCUCCAGGCACUAGAACCUGCUGGGCUUGAGAGAGGUAAAGUAGAGAGAUUACAGUUGAUGGACAGAGCAUUAAAAUAUUUUAACAGCCAUCUUAUCUUUCAUUUAGAAAAAAUUAUGACUACUUUCAGUUUGCAUAAACAUAUAGUGAAUACUCUCUAUUAAGUUGUCUACCUGGCUUAUUUUAUUUUUAGAUAUUCUGAAAUAAAGCAGAUUUUACGCAUUGCAAUAGGGGACAAAAACUAUUUUAAAUAAUAUCUUUUUUCAGAAAGUUAACUGCUGCAGUUCUUUGAAAGAAGAUAUUACAAGCAACUCAUUAGAAUGCUGAAUAGAGGACUAAUAAUUAUUUAUAAUGGAGGCCAUGUUGAGAUACUUCCUUGAAUUUUUUCUGAAAGCAAUGUUGGUAGAAUUCUUAUUAGGAAUAUGCUUUCUAUGAGACUUUAAUAGUAGUUCUAUUUUUAUCUGGGAAGAAAUGAACCUUACAAUACUAAUUUUCUCAGUUAACAGGGUUCCUUCUCCUAAAUAAGCCCAA